AAAUUGAAGAGUUUGAUCAUGGCUCAGAUUGAACGCUGGCGGCAGGCCUAACACAUGCAAGUCGAACGGUAACAGGAAACAGCUUGCUGUUUCGCUGACGAGUGGCGGACGGGUGAGUAAUGUCUGGGAAACUGCCUGAUGGAGGGGGAUAACUACUGGAAACGGUAGCUAAUACCGCAUAAUGUCGCAAGACUAAAGAGGGGGACCUUCGGGCCUCUUGCCAUCGGAUGUGCCCAGAUGGGAUUAGCUAGUAGGUGGGGUAACGGCUCACCUAGGCGACGAU
Molecule: ribosomal RNA, 283 nt
Filed under: Escherichia coli
Lineage: Bacteria; Pseudomonadati; Pseudomonadota; Gammaproteobacteria; Enterobacterales; Enterobacteriaceae
Also listed under: 1 other name
Description: partial 16S ribosomal RNA
Rfam family: Bacterial small subunit ribosomal RNA
Source: RNAcentral